CAAUAGCGUAUAUUAAAGUUGUUGCAGUUAAAAGCUCGUAGUUGGAUUUCUGGUGGGCGCAUCCGGUCCGCUCCGCAAGGAGUGUGCACUGGCGAUGUCGCCGGCCACUUUUACGGCGAACGAUUCUGGCAUUAAGUUGUCGGGGUCGGGAGCCGUAUCAUUUACUGUGAAAAAUUAGGAGUUAGUUUAAAGCAGGCUAUUUGCUGUAGAAUACUAUUAGCAGUAGGAAUAAAUAAGAUAGGUACUUUGGUGCUUAUUUUGUUUGGUUUGCACGCCAAGGUAAUGAUUAACAGGGACAGGUUGGGGGUAUUCGUUAUUUUGAUGUCAGAGGUGAAAUUCUUGGUAUUUUCGAAAGACGAACUUCUGCGAAAGCAUUUACCAAGGAUUGUUUUCAUUAAUCAAGAACGAAAGUUAGGGGAUCGAAGAUGAUCAGAUACCGU
RNAcentral lists this ribosomal RNA (440 nucleotides) under uncultured eukaryote. RNAcentral's name for it is "bacterial SSU rRNA". It matches the Rfam family "Eukaryotic small subunit ribosomal RNA", at positions 592 to 1018 of the family's 1831-position model. The record is from RNAcentral.